AACCAUAUCAUUUUUAAUAAGUUUAUAAUGUCAAAUUAAUGCAAUGUAAAGGAAACUAACCAAGCCAUUUAAUUUGUUUUUCUUAAAUAAAACACAUAAUGUUUCAUGAGACAUCAGGCUUUUAUUUGACAAAUCAAUAUACAAUUAUUGUAUGAACUAGUUUCUAUGGAGCAUAAAAGACUUCUCUCAUGGACUGAUAAAUCAGCAAGCUAAAAAGAGAAGGGACUGAAUAAAUAAUUUUUAAGGGAAAAAAGCAUCAAGCAAGGGAGAAAUUAAAGACACAUGAAACAGGGUUAAUAAAAGGGAUUUUAAAAAAUCAACAUAGUAACUAUAGGUCUAUUCAACAGACCAAAAAAAAAAAAAAAUCAUAAAGCAAAACAAAAACUAAAUACCAAAGAACAAUUAAGCAACUUGCCAAAAAACAAAAUACUUUGGUGGGAUGUCAAUCAGUAACACUGAGCUGACAACUGUGCCUUAAUUAAUUUUGAAACUGUUUCCAAUUAGUUAGUAUAGAACACUAGAGGCUUCAUGCUGCCUAUGACUCAGUGCACUGACUCAUCCACCAAAACUUUUCUUACA
This 579-nucleotide long non-coding RNA is filed under the name Bos taurus (domestic cattle). RNAcentral describes it as "long non-coding RNA NONBTAT007253". Lineage: Eukaryota; Metazoa; Chordata; Mammalia; Artiodactyla; Bovidae. The record is from RNAcentral.